CGGCUACGGCGGGGGACCAGAGCACCGAGGCGGCAGCGGCCCCUCCAGGAAAAGGUGCAUGGCUAAUUUGUCGUUUGUAGUUAGUAAUGGCUUGAGCUAAACUCCUCUAACCGGAAGGCAUUCCCCGCUUCUUCAAAGGAUAGAGUACUGGAGAAAAUGUGGCAAGUGAUUGGAUGUUUGCUUCAGAAGUUUCAGCAACUCAGCUUUGCAACUACCAGCUACAAGCUCUUUUCUUGAUUGCACUAUGAAAAAGUUGCAAAUGGGAUGGACUUAUAGAACCAAAAGCCAUUUUUUUCAAAUGAAGAUAACUGAAGGAGUUUGAUCUUCAUUGCCUUCUAAUCACAGUUGAG
This 350-nucleotide long non-coding RNA is filed under the name Vombatus ursinus (common wombat). Its description in RNAcentral is "lncRNA (ENSVURG00010016522.1)". Lineage: Eukaryota; Metazoa; Chordata; Mammalia; Diprotodontia; Vombatidae. The record is from RNAcentral.